Molecule: long non-coding RNA, 713 nt
Organism: Phragmites australis (common reed)
Lineage: Eukaryota; Viridiplantae; Streptophyta; Magnoliopsida; Poales; Poaceae
Exons: 2
Source: RefSeq, a predicted model, not a curated record
UCUAUUCUCUUCGCAGCUCCCACUUAACCGAGCCGACCGACGAGGCGACGACACGCCGGCGGCCGGCCCCGACAAUUCCUGCGACCGAUUCCUCCGCUUUCCCCGUCCCCCUUCCGCUCCGUCUCCAUUUAACCCCCCCACCCCCCCCCCCCGGGGGUCCGCCUCGCUCUCGUGACCAAGCCGCCGAUCUGCUCCGGGAGAAGUUCUCGUGAUCCCUCUCGAUCGAGCGCGAGAACGCCGGGAGGGAUCGAGCUACCUGCUCGUGUGCGUCGACGUCCAGAUCACAGCCUCAGGCCGCGUAUGCAACAAACGCAGCGAGGUCGAGAGCGAUGGAGAUGGUGCUGGUGAUCUCGCUGCCGCUGGUGGUCCUUGCCAUCAUCGUCGCCAUCGUCAUCUGCAUCAUCUGCCGCUGAAUCAUCGUUCCCUUCCAUCGCCGUCACCGGGUCGUCAGUCCCUGACUAUUUUGUAACCGUAACAUAACAGCGUGCGUGCGUGCGUCUCCACUGUCGUCGGUCCGGUGUGAAUUGUGAGUUGAGCAUUGAUCGGUUGGCCCUCUUGUCUUUUUCCUUUCUAUUUUUCUUGUACUCGAAAGUCUUAAUUUGUAACUAAGGAACUAGAGAAGCAUAGAUCUGUUGUGAACUUGGGAUUAGGCUAUCUACAGCAGUUUCUUUUUCUAGUGAUACAGUGCCCUGUAAAGUAUUGUGCUGCUCGAA